This 429-nucleotide ribosomal RNA is filed under the name uncultured bacterium. RNAcentral's name for it is "bacterial SSU rRNA". It matches the Rfam family "Bacterial small subunit ribosomal RNA", at positions 28 to 456 of the family's 1533-position model. The record is from RNAcentral.
GACGAACGCUGGCGGCGUGCCUAAUACAUGCAAGUCGAGCGGACCAAAGGGAGCUUGCUCUGGGGAUCAGUGGCGAACGGGUGAGUAACACGUGGGCAACCUGCCCCAGACUCUGGGAUAACCUCGGGAAACCGAUGCUAAUACCGGAUACGACCACUUCGGACAUCCGACGGUGGUGGAAAGUUUUUCGGUCUGGGAUGGGCCCGCGGCCUAUCAGCUAGUUGGUGGGGUAAUGGCCUACCAAGGCGACGACGGGUAGCCGGCCUGAGAGGGCGACCGGCCACACUGGAACUGAGACACGGUCCAGACUCCUACGGGAGGCAGCAGUGGGGAAUAUUGGACAAUGGGCGAAAGCCUGAUCCAGCCACGCCGCGUGGGUGAUGAAGGCCUCGGUUGUAAGACCGUCGUCGGGUAGGGACGGAAGUCGAA